CCUACGGGAGGCAGCAGUGGGGAAUAUUGCACAAUGGGCGAAAGCCUGAUGCAGCAACGCCGCGUGAGUGAUGAAGGCCUUCGGGUGGUAAAGCUCUGUCGUCAAGGAAGAGAAUGACGGUACUUGAGGAGGAAGCCACGGCGAACGACGUGCCAGCAGCCGCGGUAAUACGUAGGGGGCGAGCGUUAUCCGGAAUGACUGGGCGUAAGGGGUGCGUAGGUGGUUUCUUAAGUCAGAGGUGAAAGGCUCCGGCUCAACCGUAGGUCGCCUUUGAAACGGGGGAACUUGAGUGCAGGAGAGGUUAGUGGAAUUCCUAGUGUAGCGGUGCAAUGCGUAGAUAUUAGGUGGAACACCAGUUGCGACGGCGUCUCUCUGGACUUUAACUGACACUGAGGCACGAAAGCGUGGGGAGCAAACAGGAUUAGAUACCCUUGUAGUC
This 439-nucleotide ribosomal RNA is filed under the name uncultured bacterium. RNAcentral describes it as "partial 16S ribosomal RNA". It matches the Rfam family "Bacterial small subunit ribosomal RNA", at positions 338 to 795 of the family's 1533-position model. The record is from RNAcentral.